RNAcentral lists this small nuclear RNA (106 nucleotides) under Saimiri boliviensis boliviensis (Bolivian squirrel monkey). The record is from RNAcentral. Lineage: Eukaryota; Metazoa; Chordata; Mammalia; Primates; Cebidae.
CGCUUGGUAUUAUUAAGAGUGCAAUGAAAAUUGUAACAAUACAGAAAAGAUUAGCUGGCCCCUGUACAAGAAGGACAUGCAAAUUUGUGAAGUGCUCCAUGUUUGU